Molecule: ribosomal RNA, 503 nt
Filed under: uncultured bacterium
Lineage: Bacteria
Description: partial 16S ribosomal RNA
Rfam family: Bacterial small subunit ribosomal RNA
Source: RNAcentral
UGGGGAAUAUUGGACAAUGGGGGCAACCCUGAUCCAGCAAUGCCGCGUGUGUGAAGAAGGUCUUCGGAUUGUAAAGCACUUUCGACGGGGACGAUGAUGACGGUACCCGUAGAAGAAGCCCCGGCUAACUUCGUGCCAGCAGCCGCGGUAAUACGAAGGGGGCUAGCGUUGCUCGGAAUGACUGGGCGUAAAGGGCGUGUAGGCGGUUUACACAGUCAGAUGUGAAAUCCCCGGGCUUAACCUGGGAGCUGCAUUUGAUACGUGUAGACUAGAGUGUGAGAGAGGGUUGUGGAAUUCCCAGUGUAGAGGUGAAAUUCGUAGAUAUUGGGAAGAACACCGGUGGCGAAGGCGGCAACCUGGCUCAUGACUGACGCUGAGCGCGAAAAGCGUGGGGAGCAAACAGGAUUAGAUACCCUGGUAGUCCACGCUGUAAACGAUGUGUGCUAGAUGUUGGGUAACUUUGUUAUUCAGUGUCGCAGUUAACGCGUUAAGCACACCGCCUG